RNAcentral lists this ribosomal RNA (478 nucleotides) under uncultured bacterium. RNAcentral's name for it is "partial 16S ribosomal RNA". It matches the Rfam family "Bacterial small subunit ribosomal RNA", at positions 29 to 523 of the family's 1533-position model. The record is from RNAcentral.
AGUGAACGCUGGCGGCGUGCCUAACACAUGCAAGUCGAACGAUGAUGGAUGAGCUUGCUCAUCCUGAUUAGUGGCGCACGGGUGAGUAUACCAUGGAUAAUGUACCCCUUAGUUCGGGAUAGCCACUGGAAACGGUGAUUAAUACCGGAUACUCCUUCUUGCCAUAAGGUAAGUCGGGAAAGUUUUUUCGCUAAGGGAUCAGUCUAUGUCCUAUCAGGUAGUUGGUGAGGUAACGGCUCACCAAGCCUAUGACGGGUAUCUGGUUUGAGAGGAUGAUCAGACACACUGGAACUGAGACACGGUCCAGACUCCUACGGGAGGCAGUAGUGAGGAAUAUUGCACAAUGGAGGAAACUCUGAUGCAGCAACGCCGCGUGGAGGAUGACGCAUUUCGGUGUGUAAACUCCUUUUAAGAGGGAAGAUUAUGACGGUACCUCUUGAAUAAGCACCGGCUAACUCCGUGCCAGCCGCCGCAGUAA